CCUGUUCGCAGCAGAAACGUCAAUGCCCACACCUGCUUGUGUGGUGAAUGUGAGGCAUCACUGACGAUUGCCCGUGUGGAGCCAGACUGAGAGAAUGACAAAGUAGGAGGAAAUACUUUGUCAGGACCCAGAUAUCUGUUACAAUUCACAUGCAGAGACAGGAGACAGGACAGGGCUCUGAUCUUCGACUGCUCUUAAACCCAUUAAGGCCACCUGGGUGUGUAGCCAUGCAUGGCUAGGAAGAUGACCAGGAGGCCUGAGGGGCCACAGUCCUAGAUAACUGGAAGAUGACUCCUGUGGACCUUCUCGCCAUCAAACCAAGUUCACACACCAUCACAGUGCCUAGUAAGAAGAUCGACAUCAAAUACGUCAUUACCCAGGAGAGAUGGCUCGAUGGUGAAGCCCAAAUUGAAGAUAGCUACAGUUUUCAUCGCCUGUUGCAGAACGAGGCA
Molecule: long non-coding RNA, 452 nt
Organism: Monopterus albus (swamp eel)
Lineage: Eukaryota; Metazoa; Chordata; Actinopteri; Synbranchiformes; Synbranchidae
Exons: 3
Source: RefSeq, a predicted model, not a curated record